UAGCCAGUUUCUUUGUUCAGUCGGCAAGCAUUUGCUGCACACAGUAGUGCAUUCACGGAUCCACAGGGAAUAGUGUAUGGUCAAGAAAGGAUAUAACUGCCGCAGAGUUCAUAGCCGAUGGCCUGCAACUUUCUAGCACUCCUGAGACAGCCGGGUAACAGACAGCAGCUGAUGCAGAGCGGGGCCUGUGCCUUCUUCUCAUCUGUGACUUUUGGACGGGCUCUGAGUACUGAAAAUGGACCACAGAGCUUCGUUCUUACUUGUGUAUGAUGCCAGCUUUCCAGAAAGUGGAAACAGGAGGAUUUGGACUUCAGGAUCAUCCUCAGUGACACAAGUUCAAGGUCUAUGGAAUACUUCAACAGUGCUUCAACGUGAGCUGGGAGCCUCGUCUACAAAUAAGCGCCAGCUGCCUCUGGGUGCUUGUGCCCAACUGUGACAAUAGGCCAGCUGUGUAGAAAGCUAAGAUUAUCCAUCUGUAUUGCUCAUUUGGCCUUAUGAAUCUCACGUUAAUUCCUGACAAAAACAAAUAUCUGGAUAUUGGCAUUACAUGUUUUUCACUGGCAUAAGACCAAAGACGCUUAAAUGCUAAAGAAAGUUAAUCCUGAAGCAUGAUUAAAGCACAUUUGACCCUGGCA
Molecule: long non-coding RNA, 635 nt
Organism: Myodes glareolus (Bank vole)
Lineage: Eukaryota; Metazoa; Chordata; Mammalia; Rodentia; Cricetidae
Source: RefSeq, a predicted model, not a curated record